GGCCCCAGGGACAGGACCUCUGUGCUUUCACCUCUGUGUCCUUACACCUGGAGGGAUGCUCUGAGGUCCUGCUCUAGGAGGUG
This 83-nucleotide non-coding RNA is filed under the name Homo sapiens (human). Lineage: Eukaryota; Metazoa; Chordata; Mammalia; Primates; Hominidae. The record is from RNAcentral.